AGACCGGCAGGACGUGGAGCUCGCGCAGCGUUUUUCCUCAGUAACGGACCGUUAAAUUCAGAUUAACGGGAAAAUAAAGCCGUAAAGAGACGACAGAGGAAAAUGUCAACGGAGGUUUCUGUGAUUGAUCGGGUCCGUCCGGUCCUGACAGAGUUGGGUUCUUCAGGUUCGGAGUGACCACAGGAGAACAGUCCAUGUACUGACCAAUCACCUCUGGUCCAGCAGAGCGUUCGGAAAGAAGCUCCCAAAGCAGAGAGGAAGGAAACCGACAGCAACGCCUCGGCUUAAGGACCGCUUCAUCCAACAGACUCCUCCAGAUAGAAACAUCUCACCGUUUUAACCGAACAUGAGUCCAAACUGGAGAUCAACCCUCAACUCAAGAUGAACCCUUAUGUGACGUCUCACUUCAGGAGGGAUCUGUUUCCCCAUUUUCAUUUGUUGUAGACUCCUGUCCUCCCCGCUGUGAAUCAGAUGACUUCUUCCUGUAGUUGUUAAAUCAGUAGCUGCUCAGGGCUGAGGACUGGUUCUGUUCUGGUUCUGGGAAGGUAAAUACUAGCACUUGCUGACGGAUGUUUUUGCACGUUUAGCUCAACUUUUAAGAACAGAUUCUGCAAAAUGGAGGCGCUUUAAACCCUCACGCAUGCUCCUCUCAUAGCACUUUCUUUUGCAAGUUGUUGUCGCCUUAUUUCUCAACUCUUCUUUCAACUGUGGCGCCUGAAAACCUCCAGAAAAAUGUAAAACUGCCCCGACCUGUGCACUUACCCUGUCAGAGGCAGAUCAAAGUAAUCUGUUGUUUUCUGUCUUUCUUCUUUUUCUUCUUCUUAUCUCCUGUCAGGUGAUUUCUCAGCCGUAAUGCUGAGCUCUAAUGAGGUACGUCUGCUCUGAGGCCGUCGCAGGUGAUUGUUAGCAGCAGUUUGUUAUUCAGGUCUUUGGACAAACCGACGAUGGCCGACAGACAGAUAUGCAGACACUCGGACAGAAAGUGUGAAAUUGUCAAAGCGGUGACAUGAUUGGGCAAAAAAAUGGCUAACAAGAUGCGGUUCUUCCAGCUGGGCCCCUCUUGCUGGGCAUUUCUUUGAGAAAGUUCUAG
This is a long non-coding RNA of Amphiprion ocellaris (clown anemonefish), 1090 nucleotides long. Lineage: Eukaryota; Metazoa; Chordata; Actinopteri; Pomacentridae. The record is from Ensembl.